This 253-nucleotide ribosomal RNA is filed under the name uncultured bacterium. Its description in RNAcentral is "partial 16S ribosomal RNA". It matches the Rfam family "Bacterial small subunit ribosomal RNA", at positions 524 to 776 of the family's 1533-position model. The record is from RNAcentral.
UACGUAGGGUGCAAGCGUUGUCCGGAAUUAUUGGGCGUAAAGAGCUCGUAGGCGGUUUGUCACGUCGGCUGUGAAAACUCGGGGCUCAACCCCGAGCCUGCAGUCGAUACGGGCAGACUAGAGUGCUGUAGGGGAGAUCGGAAUUCCUGGUGUAGCGGUGAAAUGCGCAGAUAUCAGGAGGAACACCGGUGGCGAAGGCGGAUCUCUGGGCCUUACCUGACGCUGAGGCGCGAAAGCUAGGGGAGCGAACAGG